GGAGAGAUGGCUCAGUGGAUAAGAGUACUGGCUUUACUUCCAGAGGUCCUGAGUUCAAUUCUCAGCGCCU
RNAcentral lists this transfer RNA (70 nucleotides) under Rattus norvegicus (Norway rat). It matches the Rfam family "tRNA". Rfam says of the family: Transfer RNA (tRNA) molecules are approximately 80 nucleotides in length. Their secondary structure includes four short double-helical elements and three loops (D, anti-codon, and T loops). Further hydrogen bonds mediate the characteristic L-shaped molecular structure. tRNAs have two regions of fundamental functional importance: the anti-codon, which is responsible for specific mRNA codon recognition, and the 3' end, to which the tRNAs corresponding amino acid is attached (by aminoacyl-tRNA synthetases). tRNAs cope with the degeneracy of the genetic code in two manners: having more than one tRNA (with a specific anti-codon) for a particular amino acid; and 'wobble' base-pairing, i.e. permitting non-standard base-pairing at the 3rd anti-codon position. Lineage: Eukaryota; Metazoa; Chordata; Mammalia; Rodentia; Muridae. The record is from Rfam by way of RNAcentral.